UCAAGCCACUCCUCCCUGUCCUGCUCUCACGUACAGCUGCCCCUCCCACCACUGAAGACUCUCAGGGAUGCCAGAGCCACUGCCAAUGGAGUGAUUGUUUCGUCUGGAAUGAAGUACAGCCUCAUGGGAAAGACUGUGGGCUAUGGAGAACAAACAUCCUGGAUUCAAACAUAAGUUCUCUCACUUCAAUCCUGUGCAACCUUGGAGAAGUAACCUUUGUCUUUGUAAGAAGAGAAGAAUGAAAGCCUCAACUCUAUAGGAAUCUCAUGAGAUAUAUGUGUAUCUGCCUCCCCAGCUACGCCGAGAGCUCUGAGCCAGGGACCGCAUCUGCAUUUUCAUGGCAAAUUCCAAAAACCUUGGGUGGAAUCCGUUGUACCACCUGGGAACUGUGUGAGCCUUGGGCAAAUAAAUAAUUAAAACUCUCUGAA
This is a long non-coding RNA of Suricata suricatta (meerkat), 428 nucleotides long. RefSeq lists it as uncharacterized. The record is from RefSeq and is a predicted model, not a curated record. The transcript has 3 exons. Lineage: Eukaryota; Metazoa; Chordata; Mammalia; Carnivora; Herpestidae.